UUAGCCAACGAAUGGGCUCUCCUGUCUCGUGGCUGGUUUGCUGUGCUUGCUGCUCCAGCACCAGCCUGGCUUGGAUCUAAAAACCCGAGGACCCUGCUGUGCCCAGCUAUGUAUUUUGGCAAGCUCCUCCUGCAAGUCCUGGAAGACCUGCCACUGAUCAGGGUCGCCAAGAAGAAUAUGCAUGUGGGCUCAGUUCCCCCAGCAGGAGAAAAUGGAUUGAGACUUGAGGUAUUGCCAUCCAGCCCCAAUCCACUGGGACAGCCCUGGGGGACUUGAGUCCUUUCCUUUAUCCCUGGUUAUCAGCUAAGUCAUGUCCAUGAGCCAACGGAAAGAUUAACCAGAAAAAGAAGGCAGCCUCGUCUACCACUGGGGCUGAGUCUCCCCAUCUUUCACUGGUAUUGCUGCUUGGCUCAGUAUCAACUACAUCAUAAUGUCUUGGGGACAUCGCUGACUCUCCAACAGGUGAAUUUCUUCCAGCUCACCCAUAAUAUUCUAGCGGGGGGCUCUGUUGCAUUACCCACACACACCCCACCCCGGCUCAGUGUUAUCCUGGGGAGUCAAAGCUUUCUUGGAGCCUGUCCUCACACUACAAGAGAGGCAGCUAUCUUCAUGAUUUCUAGAGACAUCUUCAUCACUAAAAGUUUUUGCUUAGAGCUAGGAAAUUAUUACAAGUAAAUGCAAACUUGCUGCCUCUAUUUCUCGUGACGAUGAUAUUAUAAUGCUAGUGAUAAUUCAUUUCUAGCAGUUGCCUUGUCUACCUUAUGUUCUGAUUCCUAAGGACAGUUGGCAAGGGAACUUCUCUGCUGCAGGCUUUGGCAGCUCACGUGACUAUCUGGCUUUGCAAUGAUGACAAAUGAAAUUACUGCAGGUCCUGGAGCCUUCGUCCCUGGAAACCAUCAACAGGAUGACAGCUCCUUCUAUUUGGCUUGUAACAAGCUCUUCCAGGCAACUAAUCACCAGGCAGGGUCUUCCAUCCAGAAUGCAGAGUUUCUUAAUCUUAUUUUGAAGAAUUAAUUGUGUGACCUCAGGACUGGGAUUAUUCCUCAUCGAGAACUCUGAAACUGAAACUCAAUAUAAAAGGAUAAUUAUAAAAGACUGUGAUGUAAAAAAAUGAAAAAGCUAAACUGUUUUUGAAAAAGUGAAGUUUCUAUGUAAACACAUGGGAGUACAAACAAUUUCCCAUUGAAGUUUUUUUUACAAUUACAAUAAAUAAAAGAAAUUUAGUUAAGAAUCAGUGGAAAGGGGUUUUGCUAGAGAGAGAAGACCAUUUUCCCC
This is a long non-coding RNA of Condylura cristata (star-nosed mole), 1275 nucleotides long. RefSeq lists it as uncharacterized. Lineage: Eukaryota; Metazoa; Chordata; Mammalia; Eulipotyphla; Talpidae. The record is from RefSeq and is a predicted model, not a curated record. The transcript is spliced from 3 exons.